GAUGAACGCUAGCGGCAGGCUUAAUACAUGCAAGUCGUGGGCAGCAUGAGUAGCAAUACUUGAUGGCGACCGGCAAACGGGUGAGGAACACGUACACAACCUUCCUUCAAGCGGGGAAUAGCCCAGAGAAAUUUGGAUUAAUACCCCAUAAUAUAUUUGAUAAGGCAUCGUUAUUAAUAUUAAAGCUUCGGCACUUGAUGAUGGGUGUGCGGCUGAUUAGAUAGUUGGCGGGUAACGGCCCACCAAGUCUACGAUCAGUAGCUGAUGUGAGAGCAUGAUCAGCCACACGGGCACUGAGACACGGGCCCGA
Molecule: ribosomal RNA, 310 nt
Filed under: uncultured bacterium
Lineage: Bacteria
Description: bacterial SSU rRNA
Rfam family: Bacterial small subunit ribosomal RNA
Source: RNAcentral